Molecule: ribosomal RNA, 400 nt
Filed under: uncultured bacterium
Lineage: Bacteria
Description: bacterial SSU rRNA
Rfam family: Bacterial small subunit ribosomal RNA
Source: RNAcentral
UGAGGAAUAUUGGUCAAUGGACGGAAGUCUGAACCAGCCAAGUAGCGUGCAGGAUGACGGCCCUAUGGGUUGUAAACUGCUUUUAUGCGGGGGUAAAGUGAGUGACGUGUCAUUCAUUGCAAGUACCGCAAGAAUAAGGACCGGCUAAUUCCGUGCCAGCAGCCGCGGUAAUACGGAAGGUCCUGGUGUUAUCCGGAUUUAUUGGGUUUAAAGGGAGCGUAGGCCGUCAGGCAAGCGUGUUGUGAAAUGUCGUGGCUCAACCAUGGACUUGCAGCGCGAACUGCCCGACUUGAGUGCGCAGAAAGCAGGCGGAAUUUGUGGUGUAGCGGUGAAAUGCUUAGAUAUCACGAAGAACCCCGAUUGCGAAGGCAGCCUGCUGUAGCGCUACUGACGCUGAAGC